Molecule: long non-coding RNA, 415 nt
Organism: Ictalurus punctatus (channel catfish)
Lineage: Eukaryota; Metazoa; Chordata; Actinopteri; Siluriformes; Ictaluridae
Source: Ensembl
AGUCUUUAUGGUCACGGGACGCACGUAAUUGCCACGUCACGUGAUUUAGCACAAACUUCAGAUACCGGUCACGUGAAGUGCUUCCCCGGUCAUGACUGGGUAAGGGAACACAAGUUCUGGUUCUUUCACAGACCGUCUACUCCACUCUAGCAGGACUGGAGACAGGCUCCACAGCAGCAACAACAUGAUGGUGAGGCACUUGUACUUUUUGAAGAAUAAGGAUUUUUUUCCCUUUGGUUACAUUAAUCAAUUUAUAUGGUUAAUUAAUCAAUUAUGAAUAGAUAAUAUUUAUGAAGUUCUGCAUAUGAAUUUGUUGGUAAGACUACAAAAUAAUUAUUUAGCUUAAUGGUUAUGUAUUAGCUUGGUAUGUUUGGAAAUAAAAUGACAAUGCUGAUGAAUAAAUGCUAUAAAUAUG